CCUACGGGCGGCUGCAGUGGGGAAUUUUACGCAAUGGGGGAAACCCUGACGUAGCGACACCGCGUGAGCGAAGAAGCCCUUUGGGGUGUAAAGCUCUGUCAGCUGGAACGAAAAAAAUGACGGUACCAGCAGAGGAAGCAUCGGCUAACUACGUGCCAGCAGCCGCGGUAAGACGUAGGAUGCGAGCGUUGUCCGGAUUCAUUGGGCGUAAAGAGUUCGUAGGUGGUUUGUUAAGUCUGAUGUUAAAGAUCGGGGCUCAACCCUGAGACUGCAUUGGAUACUGGCAGACUUGAGUAUGGUAGAGGCUAGUGGAAUUCCCAGUGUAGCGGUGAAAUGCGUAGAUAUUGGGAAGAACACCGGUGGCGUAGGCGACUAGCUGGGCCAUAACUGACGCUGAGGAACGAAAGCCAGGGUAGCGAAUGGGAUUAGAUACCCCGGUAGUC
Molecule: ribosomal RNA, 443 nt
Filed under: uncultured Lacibacter sp.
Lineage: Bacteria; Pseudomonadati; Bacteroidota; Chitinophagia; Chitinophagales; Chitinophagaceae
Description: bacterial SSU rRNA
Rfam family: Bacterial small subunit ribosomal RNA
Source: RNAcentral